UGAGGAAUAUUGGUCAAUGGGCGGAAGCCUGAACCAGCCAUGCCGCGUGAAGGACUAAGGCCCUAUGGGUCGUAAACUUCUUUAGACGCAGAGCAAUAAGGGUCUCGUGAGAUCCGAUGAGAGUAUGCGUAGAAUAAGCAUCGGCUAACUCCGUGCCAGCAGCCGCGGUAAUACGGGGGAUGCGAGCGUUAUCCGGAUUUAUUGGGUUUAAAGGGAGCGCAGGCGGUCUUAUAAGCGUGACGUGAAAUGCAGCGGCUCAACCGUAUGAUGUGCGUCGCGAACUGUGAGACUUGAGUGUAUUCGAUGUCAGCGGAAUUUGUGGUGUAGCGGUGAAAUGCUUAGAUAUCACGAAGAACUCCGAUUGCGAAGGCAGCUGACAAGGCUACAACUGACGCUAAAGCUCG
RNAcentral lists this ribosomal RNA (404 nucleotides) under uncultured Prevotella sp. RNAcentral describes it as "bacterial SSU rRNA". It matches the Rfam family "Bacterial small subunit ribosomal RNA", at positions 355 to 755 of the family's 1533-position model. The record is from RNAcentral. Lineage: Bacteria; Pseudomonadati; Bacteroidota; Bacteroidia; Bacteroidales; Prevotellaceae.